UUGCUGCUUUGCUGACGAGUGGCGGACGGGUGAGUAAUGUCUGGGAAACUGCCUGAUGGAGGGGGAUAACUACUGGAAACGGUAGCUAAUACCGCAUAACGUCGCAAGACCAAAGAGGGGGACCUUCGGGCCUCUUGCCAUCGGAUGUGCCCAGAUGGGAUUAGCUAGUAGGUGGGGUAAAGGCUCACCUAGGCGACGAUCCCUAGCUGGUCUGAGAGGAUGACCAGCCACACUGGAACUGAGACACGGUCCAGACUCCUACGGGAGGCAGCAGUGGGGAAUAUUGCACAAUGGGCGCAAGCCUGAUGCAGCCAUGCCGCGUGUAUGAAGAAGGCCUUCGGGUUGUAAAGUACUUUCAGCGGGGAGGAAGGGAGUAAAGUUAAUACCUUUGCUCAUUGACGUUACCCGCAGAAGAAGCACCGGCUAACUCCGUGCCAGCAGCCGCGGUAAUACGGAGGGUGCAAGCGUUAAUCGGAAUUACUGGGCGUAAAGCGCACGCAGGCGGUUUGUUAAGUCAGAUGUGAAAUCCCCGGGCUCAACCUGGGAACUGCAUCUGAUACCGGCAAGCUUGAGUCUCGUAGAGGGGGGUAGAAUUCCAGGUGUAGCGGUGAAAUGCGUAGAGAUCUGGAGGAAUACCGGUGGCG
This 644-nucleotide ribosomal RNA is filed under the name uncultured Pseudomonadota bacterium. RNAcentral's name for it is "bacterial SSU rRNA". It matches the Rfam family "Bacterial small subunit ribosomal RNA", at positions 74 to 717 of the family's 1533-position model. The record is from RNAcentral. Lineage: Bacteria; Pseudomonadati; Pseudomonadota.